RNAcentral lists this non-coding RNA (48 nucleotides) under Trichobilharzia regenti. Lineage: Eukaryota; Metazoa; Platyhelminthes; Trematoda; Strigeidida; Schistosomatidae. The record is from RNAcentral.
AUCCAGCUGACGACGAUUCCUAAACAGGAUGAAAUGCGCAUCCUGGAU